AACUGCCGGCCUCUAAGUCUACCAAACUAAGAGAAGGCGGCUGGCUCCCUUGUUACAGCAAGCUUUGAAUGAAUAGCCUGUUCUCAUUGGUGGUCUUCGUUUAUUUUAUUUCCACACAGCCUAAGGAAAGGUGGUAGAGAAGUGUGAAAAAGCUGUUCUUGAGAUUUUUUAAUUCCCUUUAAUUUGUUCAUCUAAAUUUGUAGUAUGUGGUCUCCCACCCAGCUUUUAAAACAUCCACUCAUUUAAGGGAAUAACUGGCAUCUUGUGCCCAUCCCGGAGAAAGAAUGGCUAAGUGGUUCUUUAAGAAAAUGUUGAAGUAUGAGGCCUCACUGUCUUUCCAAGUAGCAGGAAUGUGAAGGGGAGGAGAGCAAAAAGGGAGUGGGAGGGAGGAGAGCCUAGGGAUUUAAAACAGGCCACAGCCCGCUCAGGUCUCUUUCCCUAGACUGCUCAGACCAGCCAAAGGAAAGGGAUGUGUUCAUAAAUAAACUGUUACCUUCAAAGGGGGCCUGACUGAGGUCUUGACAAAAACCAAAAGUGAGGUGCCAUUUCUUCUGCAACCAAGAGCAGAAUAUGAAAUAGCUGCCUAUUCUCACCUAAAAAUCUGCCAGGGUUAAAACCUUUCAAGAGUCUGCAUAAUAUUGUUAUAAGAUUGUCAGAUAUCCCUCCAGUUUGUUUAUGUCAGCCCUUUUCAGCUUUCCGAUGAGAAAUAUAGAUGAUAUAGAAUUAAACUAUUAACCCUUGGCCCUUUUCUUCUUGGUUCAUAGAUCCAGUGGUUGAUAGAUCCAAUUCAACUAUCUCAAGAUCUUUUUUUCUCCCUAGUUCAAACAGAUUAAUAAGAACAGUAGAAAAAUAUGACACAGGUGAAUUAUUUGAUACAUAUGGAGGUUCCCAAGCUAAGGGUCUAAUUGGAGCUAUUGCUGCGGGCCUACACCAAAGCCACAGCAACGCCAGAUGUGAGCCAUGUCUUCGACCUAGACCACAGCUCAUGGCAAUGCUGGAUCCUUAACCCACUGAGCGAGGCUAGGGAUCGAACCCACAACCUCAUGGUCCCUGGUCUGAUUUGUUUCUCCUGCGCCAUGAUGGGAACUCCUGUAUUGGUCAUUGUCAUUUUGUUUUUAGUCACUCUCAAUUCUCCUGUCCUACUUUUUUUCAACUAGAUGCUGUUAGCUAAAAUGUUUGGCCUGGAUUGUUGCUGCCUCCUAGAGAUUCUGUCUAUAGGAAAGAUAUCUUAAAAAAGAUUCGUAAAUGGAAUUGAGAUUUUUCAGUAGCUCUGUUUAAAACACGCAGGACUCUGUGUGUGUGUGUGUGUGUGUGAAUGAGGUUCGAAUAAAAAUACUAUUUGGAAUUUGAUCACAAUAAUGGGUACUCCCCCAGCAAAUACUGUUUGCCAGUCUCACAGAGUAUCUGUAUUUACCUAAAAAUAACUAAAAGAAAGAAAAAGAAUCACAACUUACACUGAUUCAUCUUCAAUUUAUAAUAUUUAGAAUCUAGAAUUCCAAGUAAUUUGAACCUGGGGAAUAUACAUAUGUGAUACUAUCUUAAAAAACCCAAAUGUUUUUAAUAUGCUAUAAUAGAUUUCACACUUUUGACUUCCUGUUAUUUUUUUAAGCAAACAUAAUAGUUUUUUUUUUAACUUAAACUACAAGCAAAUGUAUUCAUUACCUAGAAAAAAAUUCACCCACAUCUUAUCCUCAAUAAAAUGAUUAUAUCACACCUGGCUAAGUUUUACAAUACAACAUUUUUCCUCUUUCACAAUCAGCAUAAUAUUUUGAUUUUCUAAAAGAAAUUUCAACAGAUAAAGUUCUUUCCAAUAUGCUCAAGCAAUAUCUGGGAAUUACUAGCCAAGACUUAAGGCUAAUAGGCCCAAGGAGCCAAGUGCCAUUUUCUUUGGACUUCACAGCAGGUAGAAAUUGCCUCUUCAAUUUAUACACCUGAAGAAAAUGAAGCAGCAUCAGCCUACUGAGGGCUUGACAAAGAAAGAAAUCCUCAGAGAGGUGCAAGUACUGCCCUGAAGUUAAUGCAUACUAAGCAGAUAUAUCUAAUCACAGAGAGACCGCAUUUGGCACAUUUUUGUUGCAAUAAAUGUUCCGCUUCCAGAAUAAAUUCAAGUUGAAAAAUAAGAAAUCAAUAUUGCAAACAAGGAAGGAAGUGAGUAGGUUAAACACAUUUCCCCCAAACUAUCAGGUUUUGGUUUACAGAAUUUAUAUUCAUCUCCCCCUUCCCGGGUACCACACCAGCUAGCUCAGCUCACCAAAUUUGGCCUCAUCAGAUCCCAGCAUUGUUUGUGUUCUGGUCAUCACCCAGAGAAUUCUAGCUAUUCAUUUUGCCUCCUCAAUUUUCCCUCCUGUGCACCAGCUACUCAUUAACUUGAAAAUAAUGUAUGCUGGUAAGACACUGAAGUCUGGAAGCUAGUUUGUUGUUGUUUCUCCUUUUUCAGCUGCACCCAUGGCAUGUUAGGUUGCUGAUGGGUGAUGUUGAUAGGGGUCUCUGGCAAUCCUAUGGAAUUGUCGUGGAGUGGGUAUGUGCCUGGUGCCUCCUUUGUACCCAGGACCUUGUAACAACAUUAUAUUUCUGAAUGACCUUCUCAGAAGGGCAGAAACAAUCAUGACAAAAUGCCCAGCCCUGAUUUCCUGGCCCUAGUCAAUCUGCAGGGCCUUCUAUUGAUCCUUGAAGAUAAAACUUAGGUAUCUUAGGUGAUCUUAGGUAUGAGCUGUGGGAAGCUAGCUUAUAGCUAUAGAGUGGGCAGUCUCUGCAGUCCUGAGUGCCAGGGUUGGAUUAAGUAACAUCUACAGCUACCAGGACCAGACAAGGAACAAAGGAAGACAUUAUUUCAGUGCAGAGUUCUCCUCUGUGACCUUCCUAGCUCUUUAACUGCUUGAUGAAUUUUAAAGAUCAUUCUUUAUGUCAGCCCCCUCCUAAAUAACCCCUGAGUGUCUCCCAGUUCUUUUUUACCAUUUGGAGUCUUCAUUCCAUUGGCAGAUUGGGUCUGUCAAUGGGCCCGUCCAGUCUGAUUUCCCGUUCUCUCUCGAAAGCCUGUGUUGCCCUGAUCUCCUCAGGACCCAUUCCCUCACCUUCCAUUGUUUCCCUCAGAAACUCUCAUUUCUUUGGGAGCAAUCUCAAGCCCAUUCAAAACCCAGCAGAUUCCCACAAGCAGAUUCCCUACCCUCCCCGCUUCCCACUCCCUUGCUCCUGCCCAGCCAGAGGCCAGAUACUGAGUCAGUCAGAUCUGGGUUCAAAUCCCAGUUUUUCCACUUAUUAACUCUAUAAACUUGGGAAUCUUUUUAAAUUUCCGAGCUCCUGUUACUUCAUUUAUAAAAUGGAAAUAAAAGAACCUAGAGCUCUGUGAGAGUGAGAAUUUGUAUAAAUUGCUUGUUUUCGUAGUCAGAAAAUAGCACUCAAAAAAAAAGUGGUGUUGCCAUUGUUAUUUUAUCAACUUUCACCUGAACCUCUGCUUUUUCUAUCAGAUUAGAGCCUGUGGUUGGCCAGUUCUUUUUCCCCAGCCUGUAUCACCUCUUAUUCUUCAACUUAGUACUCUACCAACCUCAGUAAACAAGAGCCAUGCUCUAAUUCCACAGCUUCUGCUCCAGGAAUGUUAGUGCGGGAGAGAGCCCCAUAACCAGGCUGACUGGCCCAACAGCUGAGCCCUUUCUGAGGCCCUUCGACCUCUUUCUGGUGGUUCUUCAUCAUGGCUGGUCAUUAACAUCAACACAAGCACUUUUUUUUUUUGGCCACACUCGUGGCAUGUAGAAGUUCCUGGGCCAGAUAUUGAACAUAUGCCAUAGCAGUGACAAUGCCAGAUCCUUAACCUACUGAGCCAUCAGAGAAUUCCGACACAGGCCCUUUUGAAAAUGCCAGGUGCCGAUUUUUUUCUACUAUCUUUAUCCCUUCCCUUCACCCACAUCCUCCCCAAAUUCAUCAAGCAAGCAUUUGAGGACUGUGGUGUACUAGACACAAUUUCCUUUUCAAAUUUCGAUUUGGAUUUGAAUGUAUGAUUUGAUGCUUAUCUAUGUUCAGGCAGAAAGAGGCAUGAGUAAUUUUGAGUUUGAAAUCUCUUCCAGAAGACAAAGUACUUCAGUGAGUAAAGCUUUAGCAUUUUUGGUUAUAUUCAAAAAGAGGAUUAUUUGACAUGAAAUAGUAUUGUCUCUAGAUAUUCCCAUCUUCAGUUUGAAAAUAUCCAAAACUUGCAUAGGUCAUAAAGGAGGAGAGCUUUCCUUUCUGUCAAUCAUACAGAAGCAAAGGAAAUCACUUUUCCUGUACGUAUCACUUGGGAAAGGAGUGAGCUUAUCUUUCAAUUGUUUUGAGUUUUACUUGUGUAUUUAAUUUAGCAUUCUUUUGUUGAGUCACAAGAUUUAUGGAAAAAUAAAUGUUUAAUGCUGAGAAAGAAAGAUAGGGAAAGAGAGAGAGAUGGAGUUCCUGUUGUGGCUCAGUGGAAACGAAUCCGACUAGGAACCAUGAGGUUGCUGGUUCAAUCCCUGGCCCUGCUCAGUGGGUUAAGGAUCCGGCAUUGCCGUCAGCUGUGGUAUAUGUUGCAGACGCGGCUCAGAUCUGACAUUGCUGUGGCUGCGGUGUAGGCGGAUGGCUACAGCUCCAAUUAGACCCCUAGCCUGGGAACCUCCAUAUGCCAUGGGUACGCCCUAAAAAUACAAAAAAA
RNAcentral lists this long non-coding RNA (4651 nucleotides) under Sus scrofa (pig). RNAcentral's name for it is "lncRNA (ENSSSCG00015028166.1)". The record is from RNAcentral. Lineage: Eukaryota; Metazoa; Chordata; Mammalia; Artiodactyla; Suidae.